Molecule: ribosomal RNA, 497 nt
Filed under: uncultured bacterium
Lineage: Bacteria
Description: partial 16S ribosomal RNA
Rfam family: Bacterial small subunit ribosomal RNA
Source: RNAcentral
GAUGAACGCUGGCGGCGUGCCUAAUACACGCAAGUCGAGCGAACAGAUGAGGAGCUUGCUCCUCUGACGUUAGCGGCGGACGGGUGAGUAACACGUGGAUAACCUACCUAUAAGACUGGGAUAACUUCGGGAAACCGGAGCUAAUACCGGAUAAUAUAUUGAACCGCAGGGUUCAAUAGUGAAAUACGGUUUUUCUGUCACUUAUAGAUGGAUCCGCGCCGCAUUAGCUAGUUGGUAAGGUAACGGCUUACCAAGGCAACGAUGCGUAGCCGACCUGAGAGGGUGAUCGGCCACACUGGAACUGAGACACGGUCCAGACUCCUACGGGAGGCAGCAGUAGGGAAUCUUCCGCAAUGGGCGAAAGCCUGACGGAGCAACGCCGCGUGAGUGAUGAAGGUCUUCGGAUCGUAAAACUCUGUUAUUAGGGAAGAACAAAUGUGUAAGUAGCUAUGCACGUCUUGACGGUACCUAAUCAGAAAGCCACGGCUAACUACGUG